UAUGACCUACAGCCACGACGACAUGGACACUGCCGCCUCGAGUACGCUGUCGACCAGUCUCGAGAUCAACAACAAAUCAACAUCAACAGCAAACGCACUGAUUUUGAACGAUAUUGAUGGAGCAGGAGCACGAUGUCGCCAACGACGUCAUAACAACUACAAACCCAGCUGACGAUUGACGAAUGAGGCAUUGAAGUUGGUGCCAUUUGAGCGAUUAUCGAGUAUAAACUAAAACACACCACCGUCACCACACUACAGAAGACACCGCCUGGCAAGUUGGUAUUACUACAUCGUGUGUGUGUGCGCGCCUAUGUGUAUAUGACGGUUUGCGUCGUUGGUGUGACAGCGCACUACAGAGAAUGAGCAGAAAAUUAUGCAUAACUAUAGAUGAGAGAUGUUGUAGCUAAUAUAAAAAAUAAUAAUUGUAAUAAUAA
Molecule: long non-coding RNA, 434 nt
Organism: Rhagoletis zephyria (snowberry fruit fly)
Lineage: Eukaryota; Metazoa; Arthropoda; Insecta; Diptera; Tephritidae
Source: RefSeq, a predicted model, not a curated record